AUCUUUUUUAGGUCUUUUGGCUAAGAUAUAGUACUUUUGUGUAAUAUUUGUUUUUAUCCGUUUAAUAUCUGGUAUGUGGAACACAUGACCAUUUUGAUAUUAAAUUUAUUUUUUGUGGGACCGGCUUGGAAUCGGGGCCUCAUGUGUCGCUCCAAUCAUUACGCUACCGGUAAGGUCUGGCCUACCCAAC
Non-coding RNA from Zea mays, 190 nucleotides. The record is from Rfam. Lineage: Eukaryota; Viridiplantae; Streptophyta; Magnoliopsida; Poales; Poaceae.